UUACGGCCAUAUCACGUUGAAACAUCGGUUCCCGUACGGUUACCGAAGUUAAGCAAUGUCAAGCCUGGUCAUUACCUAGAUAAGUUACCGCUUAGAAAUACCAGGUGCUGCAAG
This is a non-coding RNA of Acanthosepion pharaonis, 114 nucleotides long. Lineage: Eukaryota; Metazoa; Mollusca; Cephalopoda; Sepiida; Sepiidae. The record is from the annotation of a GenBank genome assembly.